This 2314-nucleotide long non-coding RNA is filed under the name Homo sapiens (human). RNAcentral's name for it is "non-protein coding LINC00910:10". Lineage: Eukaryota; Metazoa; Chordata; Mammalia; Primates; Hominidae. The record is from RNAcentral.
CUCCAAGCAGAUCUCUUCAACUACCUGUGAAAACUGAUGUGAUGAAAAGGGGAAUUUGAAGGAGCCAUUCCAGAAGACAGGGCGAAAACUGAAGUGCAAUCAGGGCCAAGAAAAACAGAAAUAGCAGGACCUGGAGUUGGCAGCCUUGGCAUGGUCAGGUUGGCACCUCUGGAGGUGCCCAGGCUUCCCUGGCAGCAUUGUGAGCAGUGGAUGGUGUUGAAGGGCAGCCAGAGGAGGAAUGGAACACAUGCUCCUUGCUAACCACACGGACAAGGCCACGUUCACAGGUACACAAAGGCAACGCAGUUGCUCAGGUGCUUCGGUAUCACAGCCAAGACCCCUUCGGGGGAAGCUAGUCGGAUACUGGGACCCACAUUCCAGACUACUGAGCCGCGGUCGCGCCCUCGGCUCCGUUUCUGCUCCCUCCACCCCACGAGGACGGGGGUGGAAGGCCACCUUCGAUGGGUGCAUCCUCCACGAUGACCUGCUAACAAAGGUGCAUGGAUUUCAGAGUCUGAUUGGCCUACAACAGCAUUUGGCUUGUGGAGACAGUGGUUCCCUGAUGAAAAACUGCCAUGAUGUAAGGAAGAGCCUGUCAGAGCGAGGCUGGGGUGCUGCGUGUUGGGGAGGUGGAGGUGUGGCUUCCCGGGAGAAGCUCCACCCGCUGGCUGAGUCUGGCACAUAAACCAGUCUGUGAGGGGAUGGAUGUGGGUGUAAUGGGGGCAAUUACAGUAGGAAGGAGCCCACGUGGAGCCUGCAUUCUCUGGGACAGGGCAUUACUGCAUUCUCUGGGACAGGCUAAGGCCCAGAUCCUACCUUCCCAGGUGGCUGGAUGGGUCAUAGAUGUAUGAACCGGUCCCCUCAUUUUCUGAUUGCCCUGUGCUUAACGUUUCUGUACCUUUACUGAGGCUCUUUCCUCCAACUCCAGUGCCCAGACCCCCCUUCUCCUGAACAUGAAUGCCUGUCCAUGGAAAUUCGAGUCUCUCUCUCUCACCCAGGCUGGAGUGCAGUGAUGCAAUCUCAACUCACUGCAACCUCUGCCUCCCAGGUUCAAGUGAUUCUUGUGCCUCAGCCUCUGGAGUAUCUAGGAUCACAGGUGCGUGCCACCAUGUCUGGCUAAUGUUUUGUAUUUAUAGUAGAGAUGGGUUUCGACAUAUUGGCCAGGCUGGUCUUGAUCUCCUGGCCUCAAAGUGAUCUACCCACCUGGGCCUCCCAAAUUGCUGGGAUUACAGUUGUGAGCCACCACACCCAGCCUGUCCCUGAAAUUCUAAUGAAAUGUGCGAUAAAGUUGUUUUGUUUUUCUUUUUGUUUUCCCUUCUUGGCAAAGCCUGGUGUUUCUAUUUUAGUGGAUUUGCCUGGCACUGAGGACUGCUAUGGUGGUCUUCAGAGGCUCCUGGUAUUGACUGCUUGUGAAACCGCUUUUGCAAAAUUAUGACUGAGACAGUGAAAGAGAUCUAACUUAACCGACCCAAUCUUGCUUCUAACCUCCAAAUUGUCCUUAUUCAUUCCUGAGCAUAGCCUGAACUAACUUUGGGAGAAGCUUAGUUUAUAUUUUAUUUUAUAGUUUAAAACAAAGAUGUUAACAGCCCUUUCCCAAGGCAGACUUCCUUCUUGCCUGGGGACUAGGUUGCCUUUGGAGGACUAACAUUAGCCACGAGAUUAGAAAUUAUGGGCUGGGCCUCGUGGCUCACCCCUGUAAUCCCAGCACUUUGGGAGGCCACGGCAGGUAGAUCACCUGAGGUCAGGAGUUCAAGACCAGCCUGGCCAACGUGGUGAAACCCCAUCUCUACUAAAGAAUACAAAAAUUAGCCGGUUAUGGUGGCACAUGCCUAUACUGCCAGCUACUUGGGAAGCUGAGGUGGGAGGAUCGCUUGAACCUGGGAGGCGGCGUGGAGGUUGCAGUGAGCCAGGAUCUUGCCACUGCACUCCAGCUUGGGCGACAGAGUGAGACUCUGUCUCAAAAAAAAAAAGUUUAGAAAUUAUGCUUUAGGAGUCAUGCAGCUGGAGGCUACAAGAUUCUGACCCUCCCUAAACUGCUCCUAAGAUCAGUGCUUGAGAUAUUUUGCAGACCCUGCACUUGAUGGAUCAGCUGGCACCACCCAGACUGAUUAACUGGCUCAUGUGAUCUUGUGGUCCCCACCCAGGAACUUAAUCAGCACAAGGAGACAGCUUCAACUCCCUAUGAUUUCAUCCCUGACCAAUCAGCACUCCUGGGCUCACUGGCUUCCCCCUACCCACCAAGUUGUCCUUAAAAAGUCUGCUCCCCAAAUGCUCGGGUAGACUGAUUUGGGUAAUAAUAAAACUCCGGUCUCCC